This 4405-nucleotide long non-coding RNA is filed under the name Nicotiana tabacum (common tobacco). Its description in RNAcentral is "long non-coding RNA (NTAB_LNC017861)". The record is from RNAcentral. Lineage: Eukaryota; Viridiplantae; Streptophyta; Magnoliopsida; Solanales; Solanaceae.
UGGUUUGUGGUUCUUAAACUGGUAACUCUUUCCUACAACAUAAAGUCGAAAGGCAAUGACAGCCGACAACAGAGUUGAGUUAGUGGAUAUUGGUACACGAAAGCAGUUGGUUGAACAGGACAUGGGGUUGGUUGAAGAGGUAAGGAUGUUGAGACAACAUAUGGCGGACAUGUAUCAGGUUUGGAUGACUGGGAAGGCACCACCCCCGCCACCACCUAGCUUCCUAGAUGCUACCCUUACCCAAGCUCCGGUCAUAGUGUCAAAUGAUCCACCAUAUUCUCCGGAUUUUCCCGCUAAUCACAGCUUUCCUAACCUCCCUAGUAGCUCCAUCGUUCGUCCUCCAACUACCUUUCCCAAAAAUAGCCCUUCUGAUGUUCUUGAGCCUCGCCAAUGACAAGUCCUAGUGGGCGUUCCUGCUCAACGCUUUCAGCCUCAACAUCAACCCCAUGAAUAUCUCCGUACUCCAGAUAAUCCUCCCCGAUGCUACUUCUCUCCACAAAAUUUCCAAAGUCAUACCUCACCUUCCCACUACUCUAUCCAUAAUGCAUUGCCAUAUGCUCCACAUCCACAGGACUCGCAUUGGCCUACACCACUUCCACAAAUAUUUUACCCGCCUCCUCAUGCAUGUUAACCACCUACCCGCAAGAGGUUCCAACCGAGGCCAGAGUACAAAAUGAAAAGGCAGCAGCAAAGAGAAAAGUCUUUCACUCCUAUUAGAGAAUCAUACGCUAGUUUGUUCCAAAGGUUGAGGCAAUUGGACAUGUUGAAGCCAAUUCAGAUAAAAAUGCCGAACCCCCUUCCAAAGAAUUUUGAUUAUUUCCAAAGGUGCGCAUAUUGCUCUAAUGCCCCCGAGCACAAUAUAGAAAAGUGUUGGCAUCUGAAAAGAGCAGUCCAGAAGUUUAUUGAUGCAGGUGACAUUACCGUACAAAAUCCAGAUACAACGGAUACUAGCCAAAGUCCUUUGCUUGUUCAUAAUGAGACACAUAUGGUGGCAUAAUUUGUGUUGAAAAGGAAUGUGAGAAAUCUUCUGCAUUUCUUGGAGGGCCACUUACCGCAAAGUUUUCAGCGCUAUCAGUCUCGGUUCCAGAAGUUGAUCUUAAGAACGAGUUGGCAAAAGGGACCCAAAAGCUAUUUGCUAAGGUCAACGUGAUCGAGACUUGUGAAGGUUCUGGUAAUGUCGAUGUGCGACUUAGUGGCUAAGAUGUCGAGCUUUGUAAUUGGAAAGACACUCCUUUCUUGGCUAGCCAGGGAGGAGUUUUGGUGGUUGAUUUUGUUGUCAUUUCUGUUUGUCCGGGUUAUUUCAGGGUCGUAAUCCGGAUAUUGUUUUGUGGCUCAAACCCUUCUUCCUCAUGUUUUUCCUAGUUCGUUUAGUUAUAGUAACUCGUCUAGUGUUAUCUAGGAUCGUUCCAAGGUUGUAACCCAUGUCUAUUUUGCUUGUUUUGUUUUUCAAACCCUUUCACCGUCUGUCUAAUGCAAUCUCAUAUUUUCUGUUAUUUCUAGUUAUUUUUGUUUAGUUCUCUUUUCCUUUUAUAGUUUUUUUCAUGCCGACUCUAGUGACAUGAUUUGCACGCGGAAUUCUCAGCCUGGUCUUGAAAAUUAGUCUAAUCAGGAAGCAAUGAAACAAAUUUUGAAGAUGAUAGGGACAUUUGAGGGAAAGAAGUAAAGAUUUGAAUAUUUUGAGAUCAUUUAAAUCCCGAAUUGUAUGAAACUGGGCAGAUAGUUUGGGAAGUUAAUAGGACGACAAGGAUUUGGUAUAAGAGAGUGCAUCCUAGAAUUUUUGAAGCAAGCAACUUUGAGUUCAAGUGCAUCUCAGGUUACAAGAUAAAGCCAAGGGAGUUUGUCCCAAACUGACGGAGGGUAUUCAUUGUGAAGAAGAAAUCACCCAAUGAGAGUUCUGUACUUGACACGACACUAAAGAAAGAUGGAAGGCAUAUCUGGGAUAUAAAUACCGAUGCUACAAAAGAAAUGUUGUGCAUGAUCUUCAUUUUUCAUCCUCAAGUUGCAUGUGUCGUACUUGGCAUUUUCAGAGAUUGGGAGGCCCUCUUUCAACUACCCAAACACUUUAUACCCUUCGGUACCCUUUUGAGCCUGUGCUGAUCUCUUUGACUUUUCCUCUUUUGGAAUCAAGUUAAAGUCAUAAAAAAGAAAAAAAGAAAAAAAGAAGAAGAAGUUUGUAUCCCCAUAGGUUUGUUUCAUAAUCCCACGAAGUCAAGAGUGGGGCAAUUUUCGUAGAAAUUCCAUAUAAAAAAAAGGAAGAGGUUCAAAUUCUCUUGUUUUAUAAACCGGGGCAAAGUUUUAAAAUACAUUCCAAAAGUUAUAAAUAAAUUAUCCAUUUUAUCUUAGUUUGAAUUUGAGCCUUCAUGCCUUUCUUUCUUUCUUUCUAAUCCUGUCCAAAAGUCACAUUAAAGUCCAAAAAAGACCUCCCAUAUGAUCUUUGAGAGUGCCGAGUUAGACAUGCCAGGAGCAUAUGAUAUUUUUACCAUGGUUAAUGCUUUGUCAUCUGCAGAAUCAGAGGACAUAAGAAGAAAAGAAGAAAAUGAGAGAGUCUUAUAGGUGAAAACCCUCACGGGCACCAUAAGGAGACGGUGAGUUGAGAGAAAGAACAAAAUGAGAGAGGCUUGAUAGUAAAAACCCUUCAGGGCACUACAAGUCGACUGAGGAUCGUGAAUUAGAUAGGACAAUUGGAGCAUUGAAACCUAGUUUCACAGCUUAGAGGUAUGACAAGAAUGGAAGAUUAGACUUGCUUGACAGAUCAUGCCACUUAUUCCAAGAUGCACGUCAUGAUCAUUAGAGUUGGUGUUACAUCAGAAAACUUUCUACUUUGUAAUUCUUUUGUUAGAUGUCAUAUCUUUCCAUUGUCCCUUUACUUUGUUCUUCUUGCUUUGUUUAAGUCCUCUUUUUGAGUCUGCUCUGUCAGAACAAGUGAGAAAUGACUUCAAAAUUUGCUACCAGCUUUCCAAUUGCACAAAGCGAAGUGUGACUAGCACAUCAAAGUGGCAUAAGUCAGGGAAAAGUGGCAUUCGUACUGAGUUGAUAACAAUUGAAGUGCUUUGGGAUUCAUGUGAAAUGCAAAGGUUCGGUAAAUGUCAAUUCAUGGGUACAAUGCAACAGAUAGAGGAUUUGGGCUUGAACGGAUCAUAGGUAUUUUCUGUGAUAAGGGUGAUAGAGAAAGUGGUUAGCCAAUAACAAUCAAGGUCUUCCAAGUUGAAAUCAAAGUUAUCAUGGCAAGUGUAGGAGCAAUCACCCUCAAGAUCAAGGCCACAAAUCAACCACUAUGUUUUAAACUCACAAGUCUUCUUUGCUUGAAACAGGGACGAAGACUAUGUCCAAAUCAAAGAUUGGAAGUUGGAAUUUUUCAGGUAUCGUGCCCAAAUUUUGGGAGCACAAAGGUUGUUUGAGAAGGUUUUUACCUAGUUGAGAAGAUCAUACCUCCUAGGCAUUCUCCCUAGUUGGAAGAAUUUAUAGUUUUUCUUAAGUUCAGGGGUCCCGCCUGGAGAAUAGGGUCAAUUGUUAGUUUCCUUAAGUUUUAAUCUUUAGUUUUUUGAGUUCAGGGGUCCCGCCUGGAAAAUAUGGUCAAUUUUUAGUUUAGUCAAGCUCAGUUUAUAGUUUUCCUCAAGCUCAACCUCAAAUAUAGGAGAUGCACUUCCUAGUUUGGGUUUUUCAGAUUCUAUUUCUUUAGGAGGUGCACUUCCUAAUUUUAUGUUAAAGGCUUCACCCUUAGGAGACGCACUUCCUAGUGUGAGUCAUUUAAGUUCAUCCCUAGGAGACGCACUUCCUAGUUUGAGUAAUUUAAGUUCACCCCUAGUAGACUCACUUCCUAAUCUGGAUCUUUCAGGUUAUUCUUUUAGGAGACGUACUUCCUAGUUUGGGUCAUUCAGGUUUUAUUUUUAGCAGACGCAUUUGCAAGUCAAAUUUUCUUGGUUUUACUAAUAGGAGACGUACAUACUAGUCGAGUCUUUAGUUUUACUCUCAUCAUUGCAUCAAUAGCAUAGGUAUUUUACAGUUUUGCUAACAACUCACAAAUCUUCCUAGUGUAAACUGAGGCAGAAAAUUUUGUUUGUUGUGUUGUUUUAAUUGCAGGCACCCACUUGAAAAAUGAAGGGAAAUAUUUCAGAAAUCAAUUUUAGGUUCAAGUCAUUGGCAGGCGCCCACCUGGAGAACGAGGAAAUUUAUUUCAAUUUUAAAGUCAUCAGGCGCCCACCUGGAGAAUGAGGGAAUUUAUUUUAAGUUUUAAGUCAUCACGCGCCCACCUGGAGAACGAGGGAAUUUAUUUCAAGUUUUAAGUCAUCAGGCGCCCACCUGGAGAAUGAGGGAAUUUAUUUCAAGUUUUAAGUCAUCAAAAGCCCACCUGGAGAAUGAGGGAAUUUAUUUCAAGUUUUAAGUCAUCAGGCGCCCACCUAGAGAA